ACUCAAAUGAAUAGACGGGGGCCCGCACAAGCGGUGGAACAUGUGGUUUAAUUCGAUGCAACGCGAAGAACCUUACCUGGGCUUGACAUCUAGGGAAUCUCGUGGAAACACGGGAGUGCCGUAAGGAACCCUAAGACAGGUGGUGCACGGUUGUCGUCAGCUCGUGUCGUGAGAUGUUGGGUUAAGUCCCGCAACGAGCGCAACCCUCGUUGCCUGUUGCUACAGAGCGCAAGCUGCUGAGCACUCAGGCGAGACUGCCGGUGACAAACCGGAGGAAGGUGGGGAUGACGUCAAAUCAUCACGCCCCUUAUGUCCAGGGCUACACACGUGUUACAAUGGGAAGAGGACAAUGGGUCGCUUGGUAGCAAUGCCCGGCAAAUCUCAAAACCUCCCCUCAGUUCGGAUCGGAGUCUGCAACUCGACUCCGUGAAGUCGGAAUCGCUAGUAAACGCAGAUCAGCACGCUGCGUUGAAUACGUUCCCGGGCCUUGUACACACCGCCCGU
RNAcentral lists this ribosomal RNA (504 nucleotides) under uncultured bacterium. RNAcentral describes it as "partial 16S ribosomal RNA". It matches the Rfam family "Bacterial small subunit ribosomal RNA", at positions 899 to 1397 of the family's 1533-position model. The record is from RNAcentral.